Molecule: long non-coding RNA, 305 nt
Filed under: Brassica napus (rape)
Lineage: Eukaryota; Viridiplantae; Streptophyta; Magnoliopsida; Brassicales; Brassicaceae
Description: long non-coding RNA (BNAP_LNC024421)
Source: RNAcentral
AAGAAUUCUGGUCUGGUCGAAUACUUGAUCGUAUCUAACUCGUGAAGCAAUGACGAGCAUAUUAGCUGUCUUUAAGAAUUCGUACUCUUCUUCUUUGGGAGGUAAAGAGUUCUGGUUUCUUGACGUCCUCUCGAUAAACAUAUCGAGACCUUGAGAAUCUGGUGUACUUAGUUUCUGUACACAUUCCAAGCUUGUUCGAGGUAUUGUGUUUCAGCCUUUUUAGGAUUCUUCCUCGCUUUUGAUCUCCUAUUGAUUGAGGAUUCAUGCUCGAUGUGUGAUAGGGUCUUUUUCUUCGCCUUGUUCUA